Molecule: ribosomal RNA, 900 nt
Filed under: uncultured bacterium
Lineage: Bacteria
Description: bacterial SSU rRNA
Rfam family: Bacterial small subunit ribosomal RNA
Source: RNAcentral
CUGCAGUUGACGAGAAAGUUGUAGCAAUACGGCUUUGAAAGUGGCGCACGGGUGCGUAACACGUAUGCAACCUACCUUUUACUGGGGAAUAGCCUCUCGAAAGAGAGAUUAAUACCCCAUGAUAUGUUUCGAAGGCAUCUUCGGAAUCUUAAAGCUACGGCGGUAAAAGAUGGGCAUGCGGUUGAUUAGCUAGUUGGUGAGGUAAUGGCUCACCAAGGCUUCGAUCAAUAGGGGGUCUGAGAGGAUGUCCCCCCACACUGGUACUGAGACACGGACCAGACUCCUACGGGAGGCAGCAGUAGGGAAUAUUGGACAAUGGGCGCAAGCCUGAUCCAGCCAUGCCGCGUGCAGGAUGAAGGCCCUAUGGGUCGUAAACUGCUUUUGUACGGGAAGAAACCUCACUACGUGUAGUGAGUUGACGGUACCGUGAGAAUAAGGAUCGGCUAACUUCGUGCCAGCAGCCGCGGUAAUACGAAGGAUCCAAGCGUUGUCCGGAUUUACUGGGUUUAAAGGGUGCGUAGGCGGACUUUUAAGUCAGUGGUGAAAGCUUGCAGCUUAACUGUAAAAUUGCCAUUGAAACUGAAAGUCUCGAGUGUGGUUGAGGUAACUGGAAUAUAUCAUGUAGCGGUGAAAUGCUUAGAUAUGAUAUAGAACACCAAUUGCGAAGGCAGGUUACUGAGCCACAACUGACGCUGAGGCACGAAAGCGUGGGGAUCAAACAGGAUUAGAUACCCUGGUAGUCCACGCCGUANACGUUGAAUACUCGAUCUUAGCGAUACACAGUUAGGAUCCAAGCGAAAGCGUUAAGUAUUCCACCUGGGAAGUACGUUCGCAAGAAUGAAACUCAAAGGAAUUGACGGGGGCCCGCACAAGCGGAGGAGCAUGUGGUUUAAUUCGAUG